Long non-coding RNA from Antechinus flavipes (yellow-footed antechinus), 840 nucleotides. RefSeq lists it as uncharacterized. NCBI's taxonomy places the organism in Eukaryota, Metazoa, Chordata, Mammalia, Dasyuromorphia, Dasyuridae. The record is from RefSeq and is a predicted model, not a curated record. The transcript has 2 exons.
AGAUGAGGAAAACUGAGGCCUGAAGAGACCAUGUGGCUUGUUCAGGGUCAUUCAGAUUCAUCAAAAAAUCAAAGAACUGCAUUGUGUCAAAGGAAGUAUGGAGCUGCCAUCUUGAAGGAACAUAAGCACUCUUUCAUCAUCAUCAGUCAUAAGAACUUAGAGGACUUUCAGAAGCUUCUACCCCCUUUGUGGUGUGAUGGAAAAGGCCCUAGAUUUGGAAUUUGAAGAGUUGAAUCUUAACUCUGAUACUUAUUAUAUAGGGACUGUUCAUUGGCUCCAUAUUGCACAGAGUACUGAGUCAGGAGCCAGGAAAACUUAAUUUCUUGAGUUCAAAUAUAGUCUUAGACCCUUAUUAGCUAUGUGACCCUGGGCAAAUCACCUAACCCAGUUAGUCAAAUGACCCAGAAGAAGGAAAUGGCAAACUAUAUUAUCUCUAAGAUCCUUUCUAGUUUUGAACUUUUGAUCCAGAAAACUAGAUGACUACAAAGAUUCUUCAUAAUUUUGUGUAUUAUUUAAUAUUUCAAGAAAUCCAAUACAAGUUUUCAGUUUUCUGGGCAAUAAUUUUUAGUGCAACUUUACCAUUAACUAUAUUCUAAGUUACCUCUAUCUUUGGGCAAAAUAUACUUUCAGAAAACCAGAACUGGGUUACCUGCUAGAUCAUGAGCUUUAUAGUCUUCCCACCUCAACUGAACCUAUGAAGUUUGGUUUUAUGGCAGCAAGUACAAUAUGCCUGCACCCAUUCCAAUUGGCCAUCAUCUAAAGUAGUGUGAUCCAAAUAAUCAGUCUAGAAUUUCUCCUUGAAUCAAGUCAGAUAAUAAUCAAAUAAACUGCUCAAAAUUG